This 253-nucleotide ribosomal RNA is filed under the name uncultured bacterium. Its description in RNAcentral is "partial 16S ribosomal RNA". It matches the Rfam family "Bacterial small subunit ribosomal RNA", at positions 524 to 776 of the family's 1533-position model. The record is from RNAcentral.
UACGUAGGGUGCAAGCGUUGUCCGGAAUUAUUGGGCGUAAAGAGCUCGUAGGCGGUCUGUCACGUCGGCUGUGAAAACCCGGAGCUCAACUCCGGGCCUGCAGUCGAUACGGGCAAACUGGAGUGUUGCAGGGGAGACUGGAAUUCCUGGUGUAGCGGUGAAAUGCGCAGAUAUCAGGAGGAACACCGGUGGCGAAGGCGGGUCUCUGGGCCGAUACUGACGCUGAGGAGCGAAAGCGUGGGGAGCGAACAGG